CAAAGAUAACAAGGGACUGCUGGACAGCCACAGUGAGUAUCUCAUGAUCACUUCGUCGUCGUCAUCGUCGUUUUCUUUUAUUUUUUGUAGUUGCAGAUGGACAGAAUGCCUUUCUUUUCUUUUCUUUUCUUUUAAAUUUUAUUUUUAAAAAAUUUAGUUGGAGAUGGACACAAUAACUUUAUUUAUUUAUUUAUUUUUAUGUGGUGUGGGGGAUUGAACCCAGUGCCUCCCAUGUGCUAGGCAAGUGCUCUACCACUGAGCCACUACCCCAGCCCAUGACCACUCUUCUUUAUCCUCCUCUUCCACUCCCACCACUGAAUUAUUUUAAAGCAAAUUCUGGACAUUAUUAUAUUUUAUUUAUAAAUCUUUUAGGCUCUAUCUGCAAAUAAUAAUUAUUUAAAAUCCAAGCGUUAUUGAGGAAAACCUGGUAUAUGAGAACUGCCUGUCAAAAAUGGAAUGUUCUGAAGGAAAAGAAAGAGGAUAUAACAAAAUGCAAUUUAUUGGGAAAUUAUGCAUAGAAGUGUAUCAGCAAGACAGGACGAUUCCUGCACCUGGAGGCAGAAGAGGCUUAUAUGCUAAGCUAGGCAAAGGUGGGCUACUCCAACUAGAACAUACCAGGGCUUUUUCAAAAACUACUAAUAUGUCGAAUGUCAGUUUAUCAGUUUUGGGAGCUGGGGAUGUAGCUCAGUGAGAGAAGUGUGAUUAGCAUGUGUGAAUCCCUGGGUUCAAUCCCCAGCACCAAUGAAUGUAAAAAAAAAAUUAAAAAGAAGAAGAAAAAAAGAAAGAAGGAAACAGUCUGGUGUCAGUGGUUGUCACAACAUGUUUGACUAUGUUAACGGCUUUGCUUAUCUGGCGGAUUUGGAAUGCAUGCCACCAUCAUCUGGUGGGCAAAAUUGUGAAUACAACCAAGUUGGCUCUAGUCAUGUCAAGAUAGAUUAUCGCAUAUGCACAAUACCAUUAUCAUACCUUGGCCUCUAAUACCCAGUCCUUAUUCACAUUUUUCUGAUUUUCUCAAGAAAUUGUUCUGUAGUCAUUUGGUUCAAAUCAGGAUCCACCUGAAGUGCACACUGUGCAUUUGGUGGAUGUAUUUCUGAGAUCUCUCAUAAUCUGCAAUGACCUUCUUGGGACUUACCUGGCAAGUGUUACAACUUGUAGAGGAACAGAGGGCUUUCUGGUACAGCCAUGUCAUAUUAGAUUCCCACUAGGUGGUGCUGGAGUUCUGAUAUAAUUUGACAAGUGCAGAAGAAUUCCAUUUCUCAUAAUCUGAGUCUAGACAAUGUCAUUAAGUUCUCACAACAACCCAUAUGAUAGCAAUAAUGCUCAUUUUAUAGAUGUAAAAAUUAAGUCCAAGGGAGAUUUUUAAAAUAAGAAAUAAUGGUUUCUUUUACCUCAUCUCACAGACCACAUCUGUUUUUUUCUCCAGAAUUUCUGUUGACCCAGGACAACCAACAGUGCCAGAUGCCACCACCAAAAGCACCAAUAGGUCUUCUUGCUAAUAAACAGCAAGGGGAUUUCAGAGAGUUAAAGGAGUGUGUAUUUGGCGAUGCUGAGACAACAGCUCUAACUACACCAUCCCUCCCAUGGAGUACAGAUAAAAAGCAUUUUCAUUUCUCAUAACUGCUUCAGAUGUCAGCAGUUCUCUUUGUUUCUGUAUGGAUUCAUCUUGACAUGACUGCAGCCAUCUUGAGUCAUAACCACCAUGAUGUCCCCUGGAAAAAUCCCAGUUGGUUUUUUCUGCACAGUUUUCCAGCAAACUAUAAACAGACAAAAGCAUUACCGUGGUAUGUGGAGCUUUACAACUGUACCCUGGCAUCAGGGAUGUGCCUGUCUCCUUGAUGUUAGCUUAGAUAAAUCAGGUACAAUUAUGGGUUUGAUGAAGACACUUUUGUCCUUACCCAAUUUAUAUGCCCCUCCUUACUCAAAUUGUGAGGAUCUACUUGAUCUUGCUGCUGCCCAGGAC
Molecule: long non-coding RNA, 1960 nt
Filed under: Marmota monax (woodchuck)
Lineage: Eukaryota; Metazoa; Chordata; Mammalia; Rodentia; Sciuridae
Source: RNAcentral